UACGUAGGGGGCAAGCGUUGUCCGGAUUUAUUGGGCGUAAAGAGCGUGUAGGCGGCCAGACAGGUCCGUUGUGAAAACUCGAGGCUCAACCUCGAGAUGUCGAUGGAAACCGUCUGGCUAGAGUCCGGAAGAGGAGUGUGGAAUUCCUGGUGUAGCGGUGAAAUGCGCAGAUAUCAGGAAGAACACCUAUGGCGAAGGCAGCACUCUGGGACGGUACUGACACUGAGGCACGAAAGCGUGGGGAGCAAACAGG
Molecule: ribosomal RNA, 253 nt
Filed under: uncultured bacterium
Lineage: Bacteria
Description: partial 16S ribosomal RNA
Rfam family: Bacterial small subunit ribosomal RNA
Source: RNAcentral